Molecule: long non-coding RNA, 2392 nt
Filed under: Mytilus galloprovincialis (Mediterranean mussel)
Lineage: Eukaryota; Metazoa; Mollusca; Bivalvia; Mytilida; Mytilidae
Source: RNAcentral
UGGUUGAACGGUUCAUGAGUAAAUGCACGGACAACAUUUAGUUGCCGCCCGCCCGGCCGCCGUACAUCCUCAAAUCAAUAACCGACAUUUUUGUCACAAAAAUCCGGUUAAAAUUGAAAUAUUUUGAGUGGAUUGAGUUUUCAAAACACAUUUUAUGAGAAAAUUGUCUUGAAAUAGGACUCUACCAUGAAUAUUCAGUUGACAGAACAAGCCAUACUAAAAAAAGGGGGGGUGUUUCUCCUUAUUUCUUCUAUUCUGCUAUAAUAGAACAUUUUCCUAGGUAAUACUUGAAUAAAUAUAUAGUUUUAAGUAGAUGAAAUUAUUUUUAAUGCCGUAAUGACAAAUUAUUUACUUAAAGAGAAGCCUUUUAUGUCCCUCUUUGGAACGCGGCGUAAAUUUAAUUUUUACGUAAGGACUUAUUGAAACCUCCUUGGAGACAGUAAACUUUUAUAUGAAUUGUUUAUUCUGCUAAAAUCCUUCAAUUACUCAUUUCUUAUAACAUUUCUACCAUAACUGAGUGAAAGUUACCUCGUUGUUUAUAUUUAUUGGCCUGAAAAGUUGAAAUUUUGAGGAAAUGAUAGGUAUAAAUUGACCAAAAGAGACCUUAUAAGGAAAACAAAAAGGUCCAUUAGUGGUAUUAAUCUUCCUUAAAUCAUCUUGUGUAUCAUAUUCAACUGUUUGUAGGCAGAUAAGAUAGAUAUUUGAUCAUUUAUUGGUCCACACUCUAUUCUAUCUUGAUGUGGAUUGGUUUGGAUUUGUCGAAGAAAUUUUGCUCGAAUCGCUGUAGAUGUCGUCUUUCAUUAUACUAGGUUUUUCUCAAACUAUUGAACUGAUUAUGACAACACUUAAUAGAAAUGCUUGAAAUAACCAGUAUUACAAAGGGAAAAAGUUACAUUCAGUUUAAAAUGUCUUCUUUAAAGAUUGCUGUAGUUGGUAGUAAAAGUGAAUAUUUCAUUGUAUAUUGUAUAUAGCAUUGAUUUAAGUUGAUUCAACUACUAUUCUGGUCAAAGAAACAUAACUCCAAUUUAAAUGCCUGUACCAAGUCAGGAUUAUGACAGUGCUUGUCCGUUCGUUUUCGAUGCGUUUUGUUAUUCGAUUUUGCCAUGUUAUUAUGGACUUUCCGAAUUGAUUUUCCUCUAAGUUCAGUAUUUUUGUGAUGUUACUUUUUAUUGUCUUGAAACUACAAAAAUGAUUGUUUUGGCCCCUUUUUGGCCCUUUAUUCCUACUGUUUGCCCCAUAACCGUAAAGAUAUAUCCCAAAUGCAACCUUCUGCUUAUGGUAUUACACAUUGUGGAACAAUUUCAGAACAAUUGAAAUACACAACAUAUUGUCAUGACACUAGAUAAACGCUUGUUUUGGGCCCUUAAUUCCUAAACCUUAGGGACCAUAAAUUUUAUUGAUUUCUAUUCACUUAUACUUAAGUUAUUAUCCGGAAACCAGCCGUCUUCGGACGACGCUGACGACAACGACGACUUGAUACCAAUAUAUGACCGCAAAAAUUUUGUGGUUGUAUAACAAUCAUCAUUUCUUAAUACAUAAUUUUCAAGCAAUGUAAUGGAGUUAAUCAAACAUAUACAUAUCGGUAUUUUUAAAUAGAAUUGUAUUACCUCCCUUACACUGCUUUUAAGGGAGGUAAUCACACAUAUGUAUAUCAGUAUUUUUUACCCCCCCCCCCCCAUUGGAGCAAGACCCCAAAAAAUCAAUUCCAGCCUUUCCUUUGUAGUAUGAAACCUUGUAGUAUAAUUUUGGAGAUAAAUUUAAACACAAGUUAUUGUCUGUAAACUAGAAAAAUGCUUCUUUUUGGCCCUUUUUUUGCCCCUUAUUCCUUCAUGUUCGUGGAAAUUAACCCCAAACUCAAUCUCACCCUUCCCAGUCUUCCCUUCGUUAUAAGGAACAUGGUGGUACAAUUUCAGAGAGAUCCAUACAGUAACACUGAAGUUAUUUUCCCGAAACUAGAAAAAUGCUUGUUUUGGCCCCUUUUUCCUAGACUGAUUGCCCUUACCUUCUAUUUAUAGUAUUAAACAUUGUGGCACAAUUUCAGAGCAAUUGAAAUACUUAUACAUAACUUAUUGUCCUGAAACUAGAUUAAUGCUUGUUAUGGGCCCCUUUUGGCCCCUUAUUCCUAAACCUUUAAUACCAUAACCCCCAAAUCAAUCCCAACCUUCCUUUUGUGGUUAUAAACAAUUGUGUUUAAAUUCUAUUGAUUUCUAUGUACUUAUACUAAAGUUAUUAUCUGGAAACCAUCCGUCUUUGGACGGAAGAUGCUGAUGACGACGCUGACUAUGUGAUACCAAUAUACAACAAAAAAUGUUUUUAAUUUUUGCAGUCUAUGAGAAAUAUGUAUAUAGCAUCUAAAAAUUAUUUUUUAAAGAAUAACGAAAGAAAAAAAAUC